UGAGUAUAAAAUUAGAAAAACUUCAAAUACCAUACCAGUGGUUUCGUGCUUUCUCACUUUAGUGUGAUUUCAAAUGUAUCACUUUAGUACUCUCUGGUUUCGUUUUUCUCUUUCUGUUAUCUUAUCCGAUAAUUUUUUUGUUCAAUCAGUGACAAAGUUAAAACCACGGGGUACUAAAAUAAAUAUUCGGUAAAUCAUAGGAUACUAAAGUGAAUAUUCGAUAAACUAUAUAUAUACCUGUGGAGGUACUGAUGAAAAAAAUAAAAUAAAAUUACAAGAUACUGAGGUGAUAUAUUUUAAACAACUGAAUAUUAAAGUGAGCAAAUGCGAAACCCCGAUAAGU
This 343-nucleotide long non-coding RNA is filed under the name Ananas comosus (pineapple). RNAcentral describes it as "long non-coding RNA (ACOM_LNC010747)". Lineage: Eukaryota; Viridiplantae; Streptophyta; Magnoliopsida; Poales; Bromeliaceae. The record is from RNAcentral.